UAGCCAAAGCAAGACUAAGCAAAAAGAACAAAUCUUGAGACAUCACUAAUCAGGGAAAUGGAAAUUAAAACCAAAAUGAGAUACCACCUAAUUCCUGUAAGAAUGGCCAUAAUUUAAAAAUAAAAAAAUAAUAGAUGUUGGCAUGGAUGUGGUAAAAAAAAAAAAAAAAAAAAAACACUUUUACACUGCUGGUAGGAAUGUUAAUUAGUACAACCACUAUGGAAAACAGUAUGGAG
This 236-nucleotide long non-coding RNA is filed under the name Pan troglodytes (chimpanzee). Its description in RNAcentral is "long non-coding RNA NONPTRT004814". Lineage: Eukaryota; Metazoa; Chordata; Mammalia; Primates; Hominidae. The record is from RNAcentral.